ACGGGAGGCAGCAGUGGGGAAUAUUGGGCAAUGGGCGAAAGCCUGACCCAGCAACGCCGCGUGAAGGAAGAAGGCCUUCGGGUUGUAAACUUCUUUUACCAGGGACGAAGGACGUGACGGUACCUGGAGAAAAAGCAACGGCUAACUACGUGCCAGCAGCCGCGGUAAUACGUAGGUUGCAAGCGUUGUCCGGAUUUACUGGGUGUAAAGGGAGCGCAGGCGGUACGGCAAGUCUGAUGUGAAAGCCCGGGGCUCAACCCCGGUACUGCAUUGGAAACUGUCGAACUAGAGUGUCGGAGGGGUAAGUGGAAUUCCUAGUGUAGCGGUGAAAUGCGUAGAUAUUAGGAGGAACACCAGUGGCGAAGGCGGCUUACUGGACGAUAACUGACGCUGAGGCUCGAAAGCGUGGGGAGCAAACAGGAUUAGAUACCCUGGUA
RNAcentral lists this ribosomal RNA (437 nucleotides) under uncultured Lachnospiraceae bacterium. Its description in RNAcentral is "partial 16S ribosomal RNA". It matches the Rfam family "Bacterial small subunit ribosomal RNA", at positions 341 to 792 of the family's 1533-position model. Lineage: Bacteria; Bacillati; Bacillota; Clostridia; Lachnospirales; Lachnospiraceae. The record is from RNAcentral.